Molecule: non-coding RNA, 432 nt
Organism: Thunnus maccoyii (southern bluefin tuna)
Lineage: Eukaryota; Metazoa; Chordata; Actinopteri; Scombriformes; Scombridae
Source: the annotation of a RefSeq genome assembly
AUGAUGGACUAUAGAGCAGGACUGCUGCUUUUAACUAUCUGCUGGGCAGGUGUUGAUGGUCAGACUCUGACAGAAUCUGAACCAGCGGUUAAAAAGCCUGGAGAAUCCCACAAAUUGACCUGUACAACCUCUGGAUUCACAUUCAGUAGCUAUAGGAUGGUCUGGGUCAGACAGGCUCCUGGAAAAGGACUGGAGUGGAUUGCUUAUAUAAGCACAGGCAGUUCUCCUAUCUAUUACUCCCAGUCAGUCCAGGGUAGAUUCACCAUCUCCAGAGAUGACUCCAGCAGUAAGCUCUAUCUACAGAUGAACAGCCUGAAGACUGAGGACACAGCAGUGUAUUACUGUGCCAGAGACACAGUGAGAGACAGUAAUAGGAGACUCAUACAAAAACUACUUCCACUAUUUACCUCAAAGACUUGGAGUAUUCAGUAG